This 492-nucleotide ribosomal RNA is filed under the name uncultured bacterium. RNAcentral's name for it is "partial 16S ribosomal RNA". It matches the Rfam family "Bacterial small subunit ribosomal RNA", at positions 28 to 507 of the family's 1533-position model. The record is from RNAcentral.
GACGAACGCUGGCGGCGUGCUUAACACAUGCAAGUGGAGCGACGAACCAGGGCUUGCCCUGGGGCAGAGCCGCGAACGGGUGAGUAACACGUGGGUAACGUGCCCCGAUGACUGGGACAACCCGGGGAAACCCGGGCUAAUACCGGAUGUGCCCCCUCACAUCAGUGAGGUGUGUAAAGGAAGCUUCGGCCUCCGCAUCGGGAUCGGCCCGCGGCCCAUUGGCUUGUUGGUGAGGUAACGGCUCACCAAGGCUGCGAUGGGUAGCUGGUCUGAGAGGACGAUCAGCCACACUGGGACUGAGACACGGCCCAGACUCCUACGGGAGGCAGCAGUGGGGAAUCUUGCGCAAUGCGCGAAAGCGUGACGCAGCAACGCCGCGUGGGGGAAGACGGCCUUCGGGUUGUAAACCCCUUUCAGUUGGGACGAAGGUCGGGCGGUUAACAGCCGUUCCGGCUGACGGUACCUUCACAAGAAGCCCCGGCUAACUACGUG